RNAcentral lists this ribosomal RNA (229 nucleotides) under uncultured bacterium. Its description in RNAcentral is "partial 16S ribosomal RNA". It matches the Rfam family "Bacterial small subunit ribosomal RNA", at positions 568 to 796 of the family's 1533-position model. The record is from RNAcentral.
UGCGUAGGUGGCUUGGUAAGUCAGAUGUGAAAGCCCCGGGCUUAACCUGGGAACUGCAUUUGAAACUAUUAGGCUAGAGUAUGGUAGAGGGAAGUGGAAUUUCCGGUGUAGCGGUGAAAUGCGUAGAUAUCGGAAGGAACAUCAGUGGCGAAGGCGACUUCCUGGACCAAAACUGACACUGAGGCACGAAAGCGUGGGGAGCAAACAGGAUUAGAUACCCUGGUAGUCC